This 497-nucleotide ribosomal RNA is filed under the name uncultured bacterium. Its description in RNAcentral is "partial 16S ribosomal RNA". It matches the Rfam family "Bacterial small subunit ribosomal RNA", at positions 28 to 507 of the family's 1533-position model. The record is from RNAcentral.
GACGAACGCUGGCGGCGUGCCUAAUACAUGCAAGUUGAGCGCUGAAGGUUGGUACUUGUACCAACUGGAUGAGCAGCGAACGGGUGAGUAACGCGUGGGGAAUCUGCCUUUGAGCGGGGGACAACAUUUGGAAACGAAUGCUAAUACCGCAUAAAAACUUUAAACACAAGUUUUAAGUUUGAAAGAUGCAAUUGCAUCACUCAAAGAUGAUCCCGCGUUGUAUUAGCUAGUUGGUGAGGUAAAGGCUCACCAAGGCGAUGAUACAUAGCCGACCUGAGAGGGUGAUCGGCCACAUUGGAACUGAGACACGGCCCAAACUCCUACGGGAGGCAGCAGUAGGGAAUCUUAGGCAAUGGACGAAAGUCUGACCGAGCAACGCCGCGUGAGUGAAGAAGGUUUUCGGAUCGUAAAACUCUGUUGGUAGAGAAGAACGUUGGUGAGAGUGGAAAGCUCAUCAAGUGACGGUAACUACCCAGAAAGGGACGGCUAACUACGUG